GACGAACGCUGGCGGCGUGCUUAACACAUGCAAGUCGAGCGGUAAGGCCCUUCGGGGUACACGAGCGGCGAACGGGUGAGUAACACGUGGGUGAUCUGCCUCGUACUUCGGGAUAAGCCUGGGAAACUGGGUCUAAUACCGGAUAUGACCUUGGACUGCAUGGUCUUUGGUGGAAAGAUUUAUCGGUACGAGAUGGGCCCGCGGCCUAUCAGCUUGUUGGUGGGGUAACGGCCUACCAAGGCGACGACGGGUAGCCGGCCUGAGAGGGCGACCGGCCACACUGGGACUGAGACACGGCCCAGACUCCUACGGGAGGCAGCAGUGGGGAAUAUUGCACAAUGGGCGAAAGCCUGAUGCAGCGACGCCGCGUGAGGGAUGACGGCCUUCGGGUUGUAAACCUCUUUCGACAGGGACGAAGCGCAAGUGACGGUACCUGUAGAAGAAGCACCGGCCAACUACGUG
Molecule: ribosomal RNA, 462 nt
Filed under: Nocardia thailandica
Lineage: Bacteria; Bacillati; Actinomycetota; Actinomycetes; Mycobacteriales; Nocardiaceae
Description: bacterial SSU rRNA
Rfam family: Bacterial small subunit ribosomal RNA
Source: RNAcentral